Molecule: long non-coding RNA, 1517 nt
Organism: Pseudonaja textilis
Lineage: Eukaryota; Metazoa; Chordata; Lepidosauria; Squamata; Elapidae
Source: RefSeq, a predicted model, not a curated record
CUUUAAAAUAGAUGGAGCUACAAGGAAGCCCUACUUAUGUUUUGCAGUCAAGAAAUGGCCCUGUCUACGCUAUACAGGCUCCCCAUACAAUGGGCUGUAGAGAGAAGGAAUUUUCCUCACCUCUGCCCUCCAAAGCAAGUGGAAUUCUGGAUCCAAUACCACAGAAUGUCCAAACUAGAGGAGAAUACCGGAACAGAUAAAAAGGAUUUAUUCCAACCUACACAUACCAAAGAGGGCUGGUUUUGAAAGAAAUGAAACUUCUCCACUAUUGCACCUAACAACUAGACAGAUGUACCCUCUUAUGUUCAAGAAUAAAUGAAACAGAGAAGAUGCUUGCUAAAAACUGAAAGCAAGGUAAAGAUCGCUCCCUUUUACAGCAAAUCUCAACACCACAGCCUUUAUAGAAAUACAGAGGGAAGCAAAGAAAUACACAAAACACUAAAAUUUCACUGCCAUCUACUCGCCAUCCAGAUUUUUAUGGCCCUGAAAGUAAAAAGCCUCAUUUUAGAGAUACUUUAGAAGAGGUAUAAUAUGCAGAGAUAAUGGAUAGAAAUUUGAUUUAUAUAGAUUAGACCACCAUUCAUCUUGGUUACUUUCCCAAAUACGAUUAACAGUUACUCUUUACUCAUUUCAAAAAAAUGUAAAGUCUCUAUUAGAGGUGGAAGAUGUUGAAUAUAUGGGACUUGCUUUUUGUCAUGUUACACAUAAGGAUUGGAGAAAUUCCACCAUGAAGCUAUGGCCCACCCAGUGAAUUCAUCUUAAAAGAGGAAAAAGGAAUAUUUCUGCUGGAACUGAUUCCCAAAUAAAACUUUUUAAAUAUAUCUAUGACAACUACUAUAUUUUAUAGUCCUUAAAGUCAAACAUUACCUAUAUUUAAUAAUUCAAAAGAUUCUUUACUGCUUGAAUUCCUUCAUGGACUGGUUUGCAAUGAUCUAACAGGGCUCAAAGUUUUUCUUCAAACCUACUGUCCUCAUUAAACAUUUUGAAUGGAAAAAAUUAUAAAUCUGAUGGUCUUUAAAAAAUACAAUUGAAGUUGGAGAGAAAAAAUAAAAUUCAUAGUUUUAUUUGGAUUUCAGGCUAUCCAGAAGGCAUGUUUUAAUAUAUGAUAAAAGUUAGAAUAUUCUCAACUUGGCUUUUGGGGACUUUAAAAAAUAAUGCUCGUAGCACAUUUUGUUUCAAAUCCUAUCAAGUUCAAGGGAUUUUAUUAUGUUCAUUUCAAAACUGACUCAUCAUUUUUUUAAUAUGCUAAUUCAAUUUAUUGGAAAUUAAUGACGCUAUUGACUACCUGUAUUCUGUCAUUCUGUACACUGCCUGGUGCAAUCUAAAGAGCUACGUUAGGCUCACCCAUGAAUCCUGGCAUAUCACCAAAUGUGAUACCCUACACUUGUUUUUUUUUAAAGUCAUAAAUCUCUUGCUGCAUAAAGUUUAGACAACAGGAUUAUUUUUAUACAUAAAUUGCAUGUUUACUUGUCUUUCAAUUAUUGAAAGAGCAUAUAUAGCAGUGGUGGGGUUAUACA